UUAUGAAUGGCAUCGGAGUUUUCAAGCUGAUGCAAUGCUAAUUUGGUAAGCUGCAGAUAAUCAUAACAAUUGCCUACUUGAUGUUCUUCGUUUUCAUACCAGAGGGAUCAGCUAUGUUACAAAUUUCUUUUCACCUUUUUUGUUAAUUAGACACCCAGGUUGUAGUAGCCUAGUCAAGCAGCUGAGCAUCUCCUCUAGUUACUUGUCUUUUGAUGGGAAUCGCACCAGGCAACUUGUUCUGCUCAUAUUGAAGCUUGAUGCAUUAACAAUGGCAUCAAACUUUCAGAGUUUGGUAAGCUACACGCACACAUUCUUUAAGUUUUUGGUUUUCAAGUUGGACUGAUUAGCCAUGUCACAGAAGAUCUUUUGGGUUGAUGAUACGGACUGAGGAUGGAGCUUGGACCUCAAUAGUUAUUGGGAAGAGGAUGGGACAGAUGAUCAUGCAUCCAAUACUUGAUUCAACUGAUAUACAUCUAGUUCCCAACGCUGAAAGUCACCACCCUGAACCAGCUUUUAGUAGAGCUAGAGUGCCGAUUGGGGAGGGAAAGGGUUUGUCUACUCUUUGCAACGUGUUUAUGACAAGAAUGGUGCUUUGGAGAAGAUUCGGAGCAUGAAACUCGCUUUACGAAUCUGUUAUGCUGUUAUGGUGGAUCACUGGAUCCGCAUUCCACAAUUCUACAGUAGAGUAGAGAUGGAUGCCAAGUCUGAAAGAAGAUUGGCUCGGUGAAGGUAGUCAGUCUCGGAGUUUUGUAAAUAGUUGCAUUAUGACUGCAGUAACUGUAAUCACCAUUGAUGUACUUUCAUUUUGAUCGACAUUUUUAUGUAAGACUCGGUAUUUUCAGAA
Molecule: RNA transcript, 844 nt
Organism: Fragaria vesca subsp. vesca
Lineage: Eukaryota; Viridiplantae; Streptophyta; Magnoliopsida; Rosales; Rosaceae
Exons: 2
Source: RefSeq, a predicted model, not a curated record